GACGAACGCUGGCGGCGUGCUUAACACAUGCAAGUCGAACGGGCCCGCCCCUGUUUUUGGGGGUGGGUUGAGUGGCGACCGGGUGAGUAUCACGUGAGUAACCUGCCCCCUGCUCCUGGAUAACUGCUUGAAAGGGCGGCUAAUACGGGGUGUGCCGGCUGGUCCGCAUGGGCCUGGUCGGGAUAGUUUCAUCUUCGGGUGUUUCGGUGGGGGAUGGGCUCGCGGCCGAUCAGCUUGUUGGUGGGGUGAUGGCCCGCCGAGGCGGUGACGGGUAGCCGGGCUGAGGGGUUGGGCGCCUGCGCUGGGACUGGGCCACGGCCCGACCUCGUGCCGGCGGCAGCAGUGGGGGGUAGUGCACAAUGGGCAGAAGCCUGAUGCGGCGACGGCGCGUGGGGGAUGGGGGCCUUCGGGUUGGGAACCUCUUUCUCCGGUGGUGAAUGCCCUGUCCGUUGCGGCGGGGUUGACGGUAGCCGGAGAUGAAGCGCCGGCUAACUACGUG
This 499-nucleotide ribosomal RNA is filed under the name uncultured bacterium. Its description in RNAcentral is "partial 16S ribosomal RNA". It matches the Rfam family "Bacterial small subunit ribosomal RNA", at positions 28 to 507 of the family's 1533-position model. The record is from RNAcentral.